CUACGGGAGGCAGCAGUAGGGAAUCUUCGGCAAUGGACGAAAGUCUGACCGAGCAACGCCGCGUGAGUGAAGAAGGUUUUCGGAUCGUAAAACUCUGUUGUUAGAGAAGAACAAGGAUGAGAGUAACUGUUCAUCCCUUGACGGUAUCUAACCAGAAAGCCACGGCUAACUACGUGCCAGCAGCCGCGGUAAU
RNAcentral lists this ribosomal RNA (193 nucleotides) under uncultured bacterium. Its description in RNAcentral is "partial 16S ribosomal RNA". It matches the Rfam family "Bacterial small subunit ribosomal RNA", at positions 339 to 524 of the family's 1533-position model. The record is from RNAcentral.